This 1178-nucleotide unclassified non-coding RNA is filed under the name Bombus terrestris (buff-tailed bumblebee). RNAcentral describes it as "misc RNA ENSBTSG00005033665.1". Lineage: Eukaryota; Metazoa; Arthropoda; Insecta; Hymenoptera; Apidae. The record is from RNAcentral.
UUCUCUCUCUCUCGCUCUCACUCUCUCUCUCUCUCUCUCUCUCUCUCCGUAUUUCGGCCUUGCUUUCCUCUUAACGGCUAAGACACUUUAAUGAAGAUUCAUAUAACACGAAGAAACUGGAGCAUGCAAACUUGAAAGUGCGUGCACGAGAUAAUAAUGAAUAUACGCGUGAAUGUAUGACCGCUCGUAUCUUUUUACGUUUCCCUGUUUGCGCUUGAACAACCGUGUUCCGAAAGAAACGGCUCAAAUUACAAGAGCAGACGUAGAAAACUAUUUUCCUUCUCUGUCGGUGAGAUGCUUGAAGAAAGUUCGUUGAUUAGAUUCUACAUGAUAGAAAGAAUCGCCUAAUUUUCCCUCGUUUUUCGUAUGCAUCUCACGUUCACGUGUAAGUGUUCAGUGUGUUCUGUAUUAUACGUUUUGUCCCUCGACUCAGGCUCAAAAUCGGCGAUAAACGUUACUAUGCACCGCUGACCAUAGGUAUGUACAUAUUUAAGACACUUAGUUAUACUGCUGAAUUCAAAGAAAGUCCUGUGGAAGAAACACUAGCCUGAUUGGUUGUUAGCAGACCCAACACGAUCGUAAAGUUAAGCACGCGUAUUGGCCGAAAGUGUCACAUAUAUAAACAAAAGAAUGUAGGAACGCGUGACAGUAAACGAUAAAUAGUAUACCUUCUUUGCCGAUCCAUAAGAUUUUAUUAAAUAAUUCAAAUAAAUUUUAUUUCACUUAGUUUUUUUACUUUAUAAAACAUAGGUAACGCGAAUGAAAUAACACAUUUGUAACAAAAAUAAAAACAGUGAAAUGCAUCUAAUUUGUACUAAGUAUCAAGAGUUGUCUUAAUACUUAUGGCCGAUAUUACUUACAUUUGAACCCUUUGAAGCGCGAACUACUUCCGGUUAUAGUCCGAUUUCUUUAAUUUCCUACCAAGAUAAAAUACGGAAGAUGGGGAUAGAAUUACGCUAACGGAACUUUCAGUCAUGAUUUCAAUUACGAUUCGUCAAUUUCACAGUUGACCGAUCAUGUUAUUUAACGACGAUUUAGCUAGGAUAAUUUUAGUAUCUACUAUUUAAUUUUAAUAAUCUAAGAACUAACUCUACUUCUAGUAAUUUUUAUAAUUUCUUUCAAUAUUUCGAAUAUAAAUAUGUAAAUAUGCGUACAGGAUAUUAAAAUUAUGUAGGUUC